This 1362-nucleotide long non-coding RNA is filed under the name Pogona vitticeps (central bearded dragon). RNAcentral describes it as "lncRNA (ENSPVIG00000008103.1)". The record is from RNAcentral. Lineage: Eukaryota; Metazoa; Chordata; Lepidosauria; Squamata; Agamidae.
GAAACAACACAGAGUCCUCUGAAGUUUUCUUUGGCCGAACAAGAGACAGCCUCCUGUCCGAGUCUCAGGGGCCGAGCCCAGGGCUACCUCUCUCCCUCCCAACUUCCUACCCACCCACCGAACCCUCGCCCCCAGCAUCUCACCUGCUCGGGCGGCGGAAAGAAGGAAACCAACCCUCCCCUUGGCUCUCGUGUCGUUUCCCCCCACACAAACACACCUUCUGGGGGGAAAAAGGAGCGAGGCGCUCCGGUCCCUUCGCUACGAGCCCCUCAAGGGAGAAGAGAGGACCAGGGCAAGACCCGACCCGUUCCCUUCCCUUUCCUCAAUGUAAACAAGGCCCCGAGGGCGCCCCCCUUCUGUGCGCUCACCCAGCAAGCGGGUAGGACGGUGAGGAGGCCCCGGCCGCCUCGGCCUUGGGAGGCGCUUCCCACCCUGGUAGCGGCUGAGGUGGACGACGCGGACGGAAAGUGGGAGAAGGGAGAGGGGAAAAAAAUCACCUCUCCGCGGGCUGAUCCAUCUCUAGCCGGGCCACUGUGGCUUGCGCACCGGAAGCCCUGGCCCUCCACAGUGGCGUCACUUCCGCCAUCAGGAAAGGCCGCGGAGGGGGGGGGAGAGCGCCGAGCAAGUCCGAGCGGCGCUGACGUACGAGGAUCCCGUCCUCGAGGGAAGGCUUCGCGUGCCGGAGGGGCUCAUUUCCGGAAUGAGGGGGGCUUUUCAUGACAGCAUGGUGAAACUUCCAGGGACGGUGAAAAAGUGUGGGGCAGGAGUGAAGACUAGCAAAAGGCAAGAAUUGCCAUGGCAACAGUAGUAUGGAAGAAUGGCAGCCUCAAGAUGGGUGAUGGUGGGGCACUGCAGAGGAAUACCUGUGGGAGGGAUGGUUACAGCUGCUACCCAGAGCUUGGAAAAGCUGGUAGACUGGCCUAUAACUUCCAGAAUCCUCCAACCAGUAUAGCCAUUAAAGAUGUUCACUGCCCCUUCCCCGCAAUACCCAUCACCUCAGAUGACUAUGAAGUUAUGAAACUUCUGUACGUACAGUACUUUUAAUUAUACUGUAUAUGUAGAAGAAAAUCGGAUUCUUAGCAACCUGCAGCUUGCCAAAUUCCCUCUUUUGUCUAUUAAAAGAAACUGGAACCCUGCCUUCUUUUGCAUCUCCUGGGUAUAUUCCAAAGUCGUUUCUAUGUAUUGAUUUAAAACGUUUCUUUGUUGCUUUUCAGUUGUAAUAUAGACUAAAAAUGGCUUACAAAAAACCCUUCAUAAUUUGUAUGAAAGUUAUCUCAGUACUUGGAAAGAGACUAUCUUUUGACUGCAGAGUUUGAGAUGAAACAGUAUCUGAGCUGUUGGGAGGAAAAUUUCUUGGAAAUC